Long non-coding RNA from Homo sapiens (human), 2175 nucleotides. NCBI's taxonomy places the organism in Eukaryota, Metazoa, Chordata, Mammalia, Primates, Hominidae. The record is from Ensembl.
CAUCAACGCCCGAGUCUAUGGUGAUGAUAAUGUUUGUGCAAAGUGGAUGCCAAGUGACUGCACAAUCAAGGUUUCUGAGUAGUUGAAAUAGAUAAGUCUUGAGUCAAUCAGUACAUCUGUACCACAUUCAUGUGGCAAAUGCUGCUUUAUGGAGAUGUUUCUAAUACUGACCUACAAUAAUUCAGCCAAGAUCACGUUUCUACUGUCUUCAGGAAAUGAGAAAAAUGAAUCCAGGAAAUUUCCAUCUUUAACUAUACUCUGUAAAUGUGCUGUCCAAUACACAGAUAGCUACUGAGCACUGGAAUAUAGCUAGUCUGAAUGGAGAUGUUCUCUGCCCAGUUCUCCUCCUUCAGUGGAACCAGCUAUUGUUCCUUCCAAGGUUCUUGUGUAUUGCUUCAAAGGCACCCAGAGAAACUAUUUGGUGUAAGAAGAGAAUACAAUAUUAAGGCAUGAUGAAUACAAAGAAGAUUUCUAUUUUUAAGAGGGAGGUAUUGACUUUCAUCUGCAUCUUGAUUUAAUUUUUGUUCUGGAAAACAAAGGUCUCCAUAGGAAUUAGUAGUGAACCUCUAGAAAUACACUGGAUGAAGACCGCUAAGCCAGUGCUACUCAAAAUGUGAUUCAUAGCCUGAUACCUGCUUCUGAACUGAUACUGGAUCGCAAUAAGAAGGACGUGUUUGCUUCCCCUUCUGCCGUGACUGUAAGUUUCCUGAGGCCUCCCCAGCCCUGCAGAACUUGAACACCGUGUACAUCAAGGAAGAUAAUUACAACUUUUUCAAGUCUUCUAAAAUCGAAUCAAGAGCUGCCAACAGCUAGGCCCAGUGAAAUGUGGAAAUCACUCAUGUCUUCCUACCUUGUAAUAAGCCUAACCUCUUAGGUUAUUUCCUGGCCUCCCUUCUGUGACCUUUGACCAAGGCCAACCUUUAGCUGGAGAAUGUGACAUUUUGUUCUCCUCUGGCUGACAUGUGAUGCUCUCAUUAUUCAAAGGAAAAGUGUUGUCAUUUGAACGUCAAGGGUUUCUCAGACCACCAGAAAAGAUUAUCUCCUUUUGAUAUCUCUGCUUAGAGGAAUACAGAAUGUGGCCACAUGUUACUCUUCUACCAAUGUCAGGAUAAAGCAUGCAUUAGGAUCCCUCAGUGGAGAACUAUGUCCAUUCCAUGCUCCUUCCAACUAGUUUGAGAAAUGGCUCCAAAUUUUCCUUAAUAUUAUUCUGAAUUGCUCUAUGAAGUAAAUGUCAGGCAUUUUAUUUCCAUUUCCCUAAAAUAGAGAAUGGGUUGCUAGGGAAAAUGCCUAAGCCAGCCAUAAAGCAUUUCCAAAGGGAGGACAUAGUGAAUAAAAAAUGUUAAUUCCUGUCUUGUUUAACAAGCUCUCAUGGCAGCUCCAAGGGGUAGUAAAAUUUAUACUCCUACCAGGACAGCUCUAGACUAUGGCAUCAGCAUGGGAUGGAAAGUAGCCCUGGGAAACAGAAUAGUGUGGUUGCCUGCUACCCUUUACUUAUCUGAAUAGUUUGUCUCUGCUGUGCCCAGGAGGUUUGCACCUCAUGGGGUGGGAGGUGGUGCAAUCAGGUAAGAAUGCUCUUUACUUACUCCUUUGUCGGAAAAAGGAUGACUGUAAUGUGUGGGCUGGAGUGGAGUGGAACUGAGUUUAAAAUCUGCAGUAACAUAAAAUUAAAGACUAGGUAUUAACAAUGGCUUUGCACUCUGAGUUGCCAUGGGCUGAGAGGGACAGCUGGACAGCCAGAGGGAUUCCAGAGGGACUUGGCAGGACAGAGCAGUGUAAGCCAUCUUACUGCCUCGAAAAACACAGGUAGGAGCACAUCAGACUUCAGUAACACAGGAUUUAUCUCAGUAUCCAUUUUUUCUGAUUCUCAGUUUUCUUAUCCAUAAAAUAGAUUAAAUAAUAUAUGCUUUGUGAGGUUCUUGUGAAGAUUAAAUGAGAUGAAAAAUGCAAAGUGCUGGAGGAACACCUGCAGGAGCUCUAUCCAUGAAAAACUGUUGGCCGGGCACGGUGGCUCACGCCUGUAAUCCCAGCACUCUGGGAGGCCGAGGCGGGUGGAUCACCUGAGGUAGGGAGUUAGAGACCAGCCUGGCCAACAUGGGGAAACCCCGUCUCUACUAAAAAUAAAAAUAUCAGCCAGACGUGGUUGCGGGCGCCUGUAAUCCCAGCUACUUGGGAGGC